This 497-nucleotide ribosomal RNA is filed under the name uncultured bacterium. RNAcentral describes it as "partial 16S ribosomal RNA". It matches the Rfam family "Bacterial small subunit ribosomal RNA", at positions 28 to 507 of the family's 1533-position model. The record is from RNAcentral.
GAUGAACGCUGGCGGCGUGCCUAAUACAUGCAAGUCGAGCGAACAGACGAGGAGCUUGCUCCUCUGACGUUAGCGGCGGACGGGUGAGUAACACGUGGAUAACCUACCUAUAAGACUGGGAUAACUUCGGGAAACCGGAGCUAAUACCGGAUAAUAUAUUGAACCGCAUGGUUCAAUAGUGAAAGACGGUUUUGCUGUCACUUAUAGAUGGAUCCGCUCCGCAUUAGCUAGUUGGUAAGGUAACGGCUUACCAAGGCAACGAUGCGUAGCCGACCUGAGAGGGUGAGCGGCCACACUGGAACUGAGACACGGUCCAGACUCCUACGGGAGGCAGCAGUAGGGAAUCUUCCGCAAUGGGCGAAAGCCUGACGGAGCAACGCCGCGUGAGUGAUGAAGGUCUUCGGAUCGUAAAACUCUGUUAUUAGGGAAGAACAAAUGUGUAAGUAACUAUGCACGUCUUGACGGUACCUAAUCAGAAAGCCACGGCUAACUACGUG